This 484-nucleotide ribosomal RNA is filed under the name uncultured bacterium. RNAcentral's name for it is "partial 16S ribosomal RNA". It matches the Rfam family "Bacterial small subunit ribosomal RNA", at positions 30 to 507 of the family's 1533-position model. The record is from RNAcentral.
AUUGAACGCUGGCGGCAGGCCUAACACAUGCAAGUCGAGCGGAUGAAGGGAGCUUGCUCCUGGAUUCAGCGGCGGACGGGUGAGUAAUGCCUAGGAAUCUGCCUUGUAGUGGGGGAUAACGUCCGGAAACGGGCGCUAAUACCGCAUACGUCCUGAUGGAGAAAGUGGGGGAUCUUCGGACCUCACGCUAUCAGAUGAGCCUAGGUCGGAUUAGCUAGUUGGUGGGGUAAAGGCCUACCAAGGCGACGAUCCGUAACUGGUCUGAGAGGAUGAUCAGUCACACUGGAACUGAGACACGGUCCAGACUCCUACGGGAGGCAGCAGUGGGGAAUAUUGGGCAAUGGGCGAAAGCCUGAUCCAGCCAUGCCGCGUGUGUGAAGAAGGUCUUCGGAUUGUAAAGCACUUUAAGUUGGGAGGAAGGACAGUAAGUUAAUACCUGGCUGUUUUGACGUUACCAACAGAAUAAGCACCGGCUAACUCCGUG